GACGAACGCUGGCGGCGUGCUUAACACAUGCAAGUCGAACGGAAAGGCCCUGCUUUUGUGGGGUGCUCGAGUGGCGAACGGGUGAGUAACACGUGAGUAACCUGCCCUUGACUUUGGGAUAACUUCAGGAAACUGGGGCUAAUACCGGAUAGGAGCUCCUGCUGCAUGGUGGGGGUUGGUAAGUUUCGGCGGUUGGGGAUGGACUCGCGGCUUAUCAGCUUGUUGGUGGGGUAGUGGCUUACCAAGGCUUUGACGGGUAGCCGGCCUGAGAGGGUGACCGGCCACAUUGGGACUGAGAUACGGCCCAGACUCCUACGGGAGGCAGCAGUGGGGAAUAUUGCACAGUGGGCGGAAGCCUGAUGCGGCAACGCCGCGUGCGGGAUGACGGCCUUCGGGUUGUAAACCGCUUUCGCCUGUGACGAAGCGUGAGUGACGGUAAUGGGUAAAGAAGCACCGGCUAACUACGUG
This 468-nucleotide ribosomal RNA is filed under the name uncultured bacterium. RNAcentral describes it as "partial 16S ribosomal RNA". It matches the Rfam family "Bacterial small subunit ribosomal RNA", at positions 28 to 507 of the family's 1533-position model. The record is from RNAcentral.